RNAcentral lists this ribosomal RNA (253 nucleotides) under uncultured bacterium. RNAcentral's name for it is "partial 16S ribosomal RNA". It matches the Rfam family "Bacterial small subunit ribosomal RNA", at positions 524 to 776 of the family's 1533-position model. The record is from RNAcentral.
UACGAAGGGGGCUAGCGUUGCUCGGAAUCACUGGGCGUAAAGGGUGCGUAGGCGGGUCUUAAGUCAGGGGUGAAAUCCUGGAGCUCAACUCCAGAACUGCCUUCGAUACUGGAGAGCUUGAGUCCGGGAGAGGUGAGUGGAACUGCGAGUGUAGAGGUGAAAUUCGUAGAUAUUCGCAAGAACACCAGUGGCGAAGGCGGCUCACUGGCCCGGUACUGACGCUGAGAUGCGAAAGCGUGGGGGAGCAAACAGG